This 568-nucleotide long non-coding RNA is filed under the name Triticum aestivum (bread wheat). RNAcentral's name for it is "long non-coding RNA (TAES_LNC023998)". The record is from RNAcentral. Lineage: Eukaryota; Viridiplantae; Streptophyta; Magnoliopsida; Poales; Poaceae.
CAGAGCGAAGGUGAGGAUGCUUGCCUGAAUCCCCAAAAUGUCAAAACUGAAAAUUUUAGUACUGUACUCACAUGUGAAUCACUCCAUUUUGGGCAUUUUUUGUGGAAUUUUGAAACAUUUACUCCAUUUUGGGACGCACGCAGGUGAGAUUCAGUGUACUCUACGAACUGCUUCAAAAUGUAGGGCAUUUUGGGACACACACAGGUGUGCAUUUUUGUGGAAUUUUCAGUUUGUAAAAUUGGAGUAUUGAAGAAGUGUAUUUUCCAUUUUGAAACUGAAAAUAAACCGUAUGUUCUGCAUUCUGUAUGUUGAUUAUCAAUUCUGUUUCCACUAAAUUUUGAUCAGUGACUAUAGCAUAAUAUCCAGUUUCCACUUUGUAAAUUCAGUUAACACAUUUGCUCUUUGUAAAUUCAGGUAACACAUUUAACACUUGGUAAAUUCAGUUAACUCAAGGCUAAAGACAAUCUACCAAGGCUAAAGCAUAUACUGACAUGAAACGACAAUAAUGGAGCCAUGGAGCAGCGGCAACUCAAGGUGAUGGAUCAUCUCUCUUGCCUUGUGCAGCUUG